AUGAUGGGACGGCUGAAAGGAAGAAGACUGACAAAGGCGUUGUCGCAGAGUGCUCGCCGCUUCCGCAUUCAGUUUUCAGUUCUAACAAUUUCAAGUGUGAUGGUAUAUAAGGACACGGAUACAUUUCUGAGGGAGGUCAUGAUCAAUGAAACGGCGGUAGUUAGGCUCAUGUCAAAGAAUGCAUUUUUGAUACGGAUUGCCCGUUUAACCAAAAUUGUUCCGGUUUACGCCCCCCACCCCCACCCACACACACAUUUUAACCAAUCCCGUGCUAUGGUUUACCUUUUCAAAUUUUCUAAACAAUCCGCCAAGGUGGUCCCACAUGUCAGGGCCCAUGAGAGACUGCUCCAGCGCAUCGAAUAUACUACCGAGUCUCCGCUCAACAAUGACAAACCAAUGGGUGUGCCGGUAGCAAUUAUUUCCUUCAUUUAUCUUGAUAAGACACAAGCAACAUUUUCGGUAUCUCUGAACUACAUGGGAAUGGUGACGCUAGGAUGGUGCUUCGAGGCAAAGCCGACCAAAUCUUUUUUUGGUCAUGCCGUCACUUCUUUACAUGCUGGCUGCCACGGCGCAGGCCCAGGCCCAUGCCUAGGAAGGGAGACAAAUCUAACCCAGACUGCCCGCACGCCGCUUGUUGUCCAGGUAACCCUAGCUCCCAAACCUCUUCUCGGCUCCAGCAGCCAUGGCGGGAUCUUUGACGGCCACCUCCUUCAACCCCCCGCCGCCGAUCCCGCCAGCGCCAAUCCCUCCCGCUACCCCUUCUGGGUUCUCCUCGACAGCAGAGCCUACUUGGCCGACCGCGACAACUCCACCACCGUGAAGGGCACGACGAGCACGGGCCAAGAAUUCAAGGUGACCUUCUGCCUCGCCGACCCGCCUGCCGUCUCCUACUUGUGCGUCCACUUUACCGGAGUCAGCGUACAAGAGUGUUGCACCACGGAGCCCCGCGUCGUCUCCUCCGCCAAUGACCUCGUCCUCCUCUGCUUCGCAUUCAGGUCCGGCCCACCGAGCAGGAGCACAGACGAUGACUCCCCCCAUCACCUCGAGUACUUCGUCUACAAGGCUGCCCCCGGCGGCAAGCACUCCAUCCGACGGGUCCCUCGUUCUCCUCCAGACUACAUGCACACGUUGCACGCGGCCGUCGUGCCACGCGAGGGCGAUAAUUUCUUGGUCGCCGAUAUUUCCCCGAAUGGCGACCUCGGGCACUACAACCUGCACGUCUUCUCGUUGGAGACAGGCGAGUGGAGCACCAAACAUGUGCAACUGAAGGUGCCUGUCAAUGUCCUGCCACGGGACCUGCCAAGCCAAACCGACAAGGUGAUCCCCCUCGGAGUAAGCACUGUUGGAUGGGUCGAUCUCUGGCGCAGCAUCGUCGUCUGUGAUGUGCUUCAAAAGGAUCCUGCUCUCCGCUUUCUCCCGCUGCCCAAGGCUGAUUUCGACCUGCGCCGGGAAAGUCGAGCACGACAAGUGCGGGACGUCAUUGGCUUCCCUGAUGGUUUCAUCAACUUCGUCGAGAUCGAAAACUGUGUCAGAUGGUUCACCGUUGUCAGAAAGAGCACUUUGAAGACGGCCAGCAUUUUUGACGUUGUAGAUACCAUCUCUGAUGUGAAGCUCCUCAGCCAUGAUGAUGAUGUGGACGACGUUACGGAUGACAGUCGUCCUGUGCGGCAUGCACCUGCUGGCUGGAAGAUACGGACAAUGCUUAGGAGCAUUUUUUGGGACCUAUGGCACAGGAGCCACGCUGUCCAUGUUGACCACAUAUCGCCGUACCCGCCUGAACCCUCUCAGCUGAUGCAUCAUCUAUGGAAUGAUAGAGACAGGAAAUGGACAUUGAAAAACUUGAAGAAGACCACUGGCUUCCCGACCUUCAGUGUUUACGGUGGUAAUGUUGUCUACCUCGUGUCUAAGCUGGAGUACUCUCAGGAUGAAGACACAUUGCUUGUUAGUGUUGAUAUUGGAAAGAGGAAGCUGGAAGCCAUCAAACAAUAUUGUUGCGGCAGAUCCAUUUCUUUCGAUCCCAUUCCGCUUGGUGCUGUUCAAAUGGUAGAGAAUCGGGAAGUCACCGAACCAUAUUGUGGUGGGAGAUCCACUGCUUUCAAUCCUAUUUCCUGUGCAUUCUCCGAAUAUAUGAAUACCACUCCAAGUCCAAGGCAUGGUUUUUGCUUUGCUCUGUUUUCUAUUCUGUUAACUUGCAUGCAAACUCAAAGUAUUUGCCAAGCUAACUAA
This 2226-nucleotide ribosomal RNA is filed under the name Triticum aestivum (bread wheat). Its description in RNAcentral is "partial small subunit ribosomal RNA". Lineage: Eukaryota; Viridiplantae; Streptophyta; Magnoliopsida; Poales; Poaceae. The record is from RNAcentral.